AGAUGCUCCCAAAGUUCUUCUGGUUGAGUCGUUUACUUACUAGCAAUGACAUUCACAAUGGGAAGCCUUUAUAGCAGGCUACUUUGAUUGAUUCCCAAACUAUGGCUUAGUUACAAAUGUUUUGGCGGUGAUGUUUCAUACACUAGUCCAGUGUUGCUACCCAAUGAUGAGUUGUAUGAAGCACUUUGAAAUGCUUUGAAGAAAGUCUUUUAGGUGGCGGUUCUACUGCUGCUACUCCUGUGACAGCCAAGGUGUAGGUUGCAGCCCGUAGAAUUUUAAGGAGGAAAGGAAGACAUGAUUUCUUCUUGGUGAGGUGAGUUGUUUCCUUCAUAUACACAUUGAAGCGAUGACAGACACUCACCGUGCUUGUUUGUUCAUGUAGAAAGUCAUUUGUUUUCAGUAGUAGAAUUUUUUUGAUUAACCUAGCUGAAUUUUGUGGCUCAGAAGCCGCCUCCUGUAUGUAGGCAUGCUUAGAUCUUUUGUAGAAUCAGAUUGUUAAUAUUUCCUUAGAAGUAAAAAAUGUUACCUUUUCCAUUACUUGUUUACUUGGACCCAAACUGUUCAUUACCUAUUGUAUCUAAAGAGUUUGUCUUAGCGUAGCGUGCAUUGGAACCAUAGUUACAAAGUUCGGCUUAGCAUGCUUUAGAACAGUAGCUGCAGAGUUUGACCUCUCUAUUCUUAUUUCUCUAUAUACUUGACACAUACCUGCCUCCAACGUGUCCAUGUGAUUCCGAUGAAUUUGCUAUAUCUAAUUUUUGAGCUUUUCAUUGUCUUCUAAUUGUUGCAUGCAUUUUUCUAAUAUACCAUUCUCUCUCAUCCAAAUAACUAAGUGUUUAUAAGGUGGGCGGCAAGGCGUGCUAACAGCGCCUUGCAAUUAUGCUCGCUUUAGGAGCUUAGGAGCUUAGACGUCUACCUUAGGCGCUUAGGCGUCAGAGCGGUUGGUGCUCACCUUAGGUCGCCUUACUACCUUAAAAAUCAUGAUAGUCACACACUCAUGACACAUUACCUUUGAAGCUUGUGUAUGUGAAUGUAUAGGUACACUUAGUGAUCUGCAUUGGUAAGUACUAACUGAACUGAAUAUCUUGAUCACAAGAUAUAUCUUUGUUGGCCGGCUUGGUUUAAGAACCCAUUAGCUGGUUUAUACUCCCGUCAUCCCAAAAUAAGUGUCGCUUAUUUAGUAUAACUUUAAUAAAUCAAUGACACUUAUUUUGGGACGGAGGGAGUACAAUAUUUGUCCGCUUAUUUCUUUGUUUUUUUGUUUUGCUUUCAAUCAUAUGUGGCACAGAUGUGCAGUUCAAAGGCAGGGCUGUGUCAAAGACGUGAAUCAAAUAAUUAUGCCAAUUGGUGCAUGUUUUUGUUGCUCUUAGUGUUUUUGUUAUGAUGAUUUUGCUAUCUCAGUGUUUUCGUUAUGAUGAUUUUUCUAUCUCAGUGAUCCGUGUUUGACAAUCUGUUACCUUUUAUGGGCAGUGCAUGUGGAAGUGUACUAUGCAAGCAUUAUGGGACAAUGACACACUGCUUAUUCUACGUUCACACACUCUGAAGACCACAAUCAGACUAAGAUGCCUAAAUAUACUGUGAGGCUGCCUAUAUAUAAGUGUUUCUGUAAGCCGGAUAUAAGCUAUUCUACUAUCUGUACUACUAUCUGCCAUUGCAUUAUAUUUCCAGCUACAUCUCCUACUAACAGUCCUUCUAACUGGCUUCUUGCGCCAUUGACGCAACCGGGUCAUCUAGUAUAAGAAAUGCCACAAUCAAAGCCCAGCCAUAAAAACAGUAGUAUUUGACAGAUUUCUUUCCGCGGAUUCUGUGCACCAUGGAUGCAUGCAUCGAUUCAAGGGAACAAAAUAUAAGAAAGUAGAU
Molecule: long non-coding RNA, 1857 nt
Filed under: Triticum aestivum (bread wheat)
Lineage: Eukaryota; Viridiplantae; Streptophyta; Magnoliopsida; Poales; Poaceae
Description: long non-coding RNA (TAES_LNC017099)
Source: RNAcentral